CGUUCAGGGGUAAACCUGAGAAACCCAAAAGAUCGAAUGGGGAGAUUCAUCGUCAGCUCAUUUUGUAUAUGUAUGGNGUUAUGAUGCGAGUUACUCUNUGUAGUAUUGCUUGUACAUACUUAUACAUUUAUUUGCAAGGUGUUGUCGGCGUGCACUUCUCCCCUAGUAGGACGUCGCGACCCGUUGGGUGUCGGUCUACGACCCGAGUGGGAGACUUUAAUAUUUUUAUAAUAUUAAAGACCCUUGGUGUUUUCUGACCGGCUGCCCGGCGGUAUUCGUACGGUAUUUAGCCGCAAUUAUUUGNNCGUCCAUGUCUGUUGCAAGCGAGGCCAAUUUCUGGUAGUNGCGGACCUGGUGCCGUCGCUGGAAUUGGCCAGCUGUUGGUUGUACGGAAUUCUAGGACUGGCUAACAAUAAUUACCGGUCGGCGAUGCUACUGCUUUGGGUACUUUCAGGACCCGUCUUGAAACACGGACCAAGGAGUCUAACAUGUGCG
This 495-nucleotide ribosomal RNA is filed under the name Heterospilus sp. MAS-2010. RNAcentral describes it as "eukaryotic LSU rRNA". The record is from RNAcentral. Lineage: Eukaryota; Metazoa; Arthropoda; Insecta; Hymenoptera; Braconidae.